GCCAGUGUGGCGAAAUUGGUAGACGCAGCGGAUUCAAAAUCCGCCGGUGGCAACACUGUGCCGGUUCGAGUCCGGCCACUGGUA
This 84-nucleotide transfer RNA is filed under the name Simiduia agarivorans SA1 = DSM 21679. It matches the Rfam family "tRNA". Rfam says of the family: Transfer RNA (tRNA) molecules are approximately 80 nucleotides in length. Their secondary structure includes four short double-helical elements and three loops (D, anti-codon, and T loops). The record is from Rfam by way of RNAcentral. Lineage: Bacteria; Pseudomonadati; Pseudomonadota; Gammaproteobacteria; Cellvibrionales; Cellvibrionaceae.